Molecule: ribosomal RNA, 465 nt
Filed under: uncultured bacterium
Lineage: Bacteria
Description: partial 16S ribosomal RNA
Rfam family: Bacterial small subunit ribosomal RNA
Source: RNAcentral
GAUGAACGCUGGCGGCGUGCUUAACACAUGCAAGUCGAACGAUGAAGCCCAGCUUGCUGGGUGGAUUAGUGGCGAACGGGUGAGUAACACGUGAGUAACCUGCCCUUAACUCUGGGAUAAGCCUGGGAAACUGGGUCUAAUACCGGAUAGGAGCGUCCACCGCAUGGUGGGUGUUGGAAAGAUUUAUCGGUUUUGGAUGGACUCGCGGCCUAUCAGCUUGUUGGUGAGGUAAUGGCUCACCAAGGCGACGACGGGUAGCCGGCCUGAGAGGGUGACCGGCCAAAUGGGGACGGAGAAACGGCCAGACUCCUACGGGAGGCAGCAGUGGGGAAUAUUGCACAAUGGGCGCAAGCCUGAUGCAGCGACGCCGCGUGAGGGAUGACGGCCUUCGGGUUGUAAACCUCUUUCAGUAGGGAAGAAGCGAAAGUGACGGUACCUGCAGAAGAAGCACCGGCUAACUACGUG